Molecule: ribosomal RNA, 968 nt
Filed under: uncultured bacterium
Lineage: Bacteria
Description: bacterial SSU rRNA
Rfam family: Bacterial small subunit ribosomal RNA
Source: RNAcentral
GCGCUCCGGCCCUUGUUAAUGGGGGAAACGUUUCGGAACGGACGCUAAUACCGCAUACGUCCUACGGGAGAAAGCAGGGGACCUUCGGGCCUUGCGCUAUCAGAUGAGCCUAGGUCGGAUUAGCUAGUUGGUGAGGUAAUGGCUCACCAAGGCUACGAUCCGUAACUGGUCUGAGAGGAUGAUCAGUCACACUGGAACUGAGACACGGUCCAGACUCCUACGGGAGGCAGCAGUGGGGAAUAUUGGACAAUGGGCGAAAGCCUGAUCCAGCCAUGCCGCGUGUGUGAAGAAGGUCUUCGGAUUGUAAAGCACUUUAAGUUGGGAGGAAGGGCAUUAACCUAAUACGUUAGUGUUUUGACGUUACCGACAGAAUAAGCACCGGCUAACUCUGUGCCAGCAGCCGCGGUAAUACAGAGGGUGCAAGCGUUAAUCGGAAUUACUGGGCGUAAAGCGCGCGUAGGUGGUUUGUUAAGUUGAAUGUGAAAUCCCCGGGCUCAACCUGGGAACUGCAUCCAAAACUGGCAAGCUAGAGUAUGGUAGAGGGUAGUGGAAUUUCCUGUGUAGCGGUGAAAUGCGUAGAUAUAGGAAGGAACACCAGUGGCGAAGGCGACUACCUGGACUGAUACUGACACUGAGGUGCGAAAGCGUGGGGAGCAAACAGGAUUAGAUACCCCUGGUAGUCCACGCCGUAAACGAUGUCAACUAGCCGUUGGGGGUCUUUGAACUCUUAGUGGCGCAGCUAACGCAUUUAAGUUGACCGCCUGGGGAGUACAGACGCAAGGUUAAAACUCAAAUGAAUUGACGGGGGCCCGCACAAGCGGUGAGCAUGUGGUUUAAUUCCAAAGCAACGCCGAAGAACCUUACCAGGCCUUGACAUACCAAUGAACUUUUCUAGAAGAUAGAAUUGGUGCCUUCGGGGAACAUUGGAAACAAGAGCCUGCAUUGGCUUGGUCCUCCAGCUUCGUGUC